Cucurbita moschata (crookneck pumpkin) is the source of this 328-nucleotide long non-coding RNA. RefSeq lists it as uncharacterized. The transcript is spliced from 3 exons. Lineage: Eukaryota; Viridiplantae; Streptophyta; Magnoliopsida; Cucurbitales; Cucurbitaceae. The record is from RefSeq and is a predicted model, not a curated record.
CUGUAUAAUGGAACUGCGCGGAUUCCUGAUCGGAGCUCUUUCACCGGCAGACAUGUCUGGCCGGCGAAGUCAUCUUUACCAGAGGUACCCACUGGUCUUGGAUCGUGGCUGUUCUUUCCGUUGUUGUAUCAUCUCGGACUCCGACGAUUCCAAUCUAAAAUCAGUAAGGAAAUUCCUGUUAUAGAUGUCAUCCUGCAAGUCAGAAUGUGAAUUGGAAAUGAAAACUAGCUCACUUUCUGUAUCAAGAAUUCUACAUCAUGUUCAGAAGAUGAGGUCAUUAUCAAAGUGUGAAUCUUUCAGGUAUGUCUAAAUGUUCUGGAUUUUAUUA